UACGUAGGGUGCGAGCGUUGUCCGGAAUUAUUGGGCGUAAAGAGCUCGUAGGCGGUGUGUCACGUCGGCCGUGAAAACCUGCAGCUUAACUGUGGGCGUGCGGUCGAUACGGGCAUCACUGGAGUUCGGCAGGGGAGACUGGAAUUCCUGGUGUAGCGGUGAAAUGCGCAGAUAUCGGGAGGAACACCGGUGGCGAAGGCGGGUCUCUGGGCAGUAACUGACGCUGAGGAGCGAAAGCGUGGGGAGCGAACAGG
Molecule: ribosomal RNA, 254 nt
Filed under: uncultured bacterium
Lineage: Bacteria
Description: partial 16S ribosomal RNA
Rfam family: Bacterial small subunit ribosomal RNA
Source: RNAcentral